AGCUGGAUCAUUUCGAGAGUUUACGAACUCAAAAUGCAUCAAAACAGUGGUAAUUCAAUUGCCACAAUUGUUGAGCACUGAACUUUCCAUAUUCGAGUGGAAACACUCUUGUGUGGUUUUGAACAACUCAUAACGGUGGAUGUCUCGGCUUCUCAAUCGAUGAAGGACGCGGCAAUAUGCGAUAACUUCGUAUGAAUUGCAGAAUCAAGCGUAUUAUCAAACCUUUGAACGCAAACUGCGUGCUGGGUUUAAGCCCAAGCACGUCCACGGUUCAGUGCCGAUAACUGUGUUGGGGACAUAUUAGGCCCUAAAAUUCUGGUCCAGUACCAAUAUUUCUCUUCAAGGCCUGAGCUGUGGUCGACCACCCGCUGAACUUAAGCAUAUCAUUAAGCGGAGGAAAAGAAAACAACUGUGAUUCCCUUAGUAGCGGCGAGCGAAGAGGGAAAAGCCCAAGCCGAAUCGGAUCACAUCCGAAUUGUGGAGUAUGAGACCCUUUGUAUUUCAUCACACUGGAAAAGUUUCCCUGGAAAGGAGCGCCCUAGAGGGUGAUAGCCCCGUUUUCUGGUCAAUGAUGAAACAAACCUUUGGGUCUUCGGAGUAGUACUGCUUGGGAAUGCAGUGCGAAUGGCAGGUAUACCUCUGCCAAGGCUAAAUAUCAUGAGAAGACCGAUAGCGCACAAGUAGCGUGAGCGAAAGAUGAAAAGCACUUUGGAGAGAGAGUGAAACAGUACCUGAAGCCGUUAUGAGGUAAGGGAUGGACCACUAUCCAAGACAAGUGGAAGAAAAGUCCUCGGACGAUCUUCUCCAUUUGCCAUGCCUGCCGCUGUUCUGAAGUCUAGCUUAUCUGGUUUUUCGAUUCGCAGUAUGCACUUGAACUGAUGGACAGUUUUCCUUCGUGAGGGAGGUAACGUUGGUUCAACCUACGGGGGAACGGCUUAUCCGGAUAACCGCUUCGGUGGUGAUUCCUGGUUUGUUGAACUUCCGGAAGUGUUCCCGUUUACACCUCAUAGGUAGGCUUUGAGAUGGCCUUUGGCCACGAUGGGGUUCAUCCGCCCGUCUUGAAACACGGACCAAGGAGUCUAACAAGUGUGCGAGUCAUUUGCUAAAUGAAAGCAAAAGGCGAACUGAAAGGGAAGGGUGCAUCCGCACCUUUGGUGCCAACUGGAAGCUACGGCUGAAAGUGCAGCACCGGCCGAGGCCUGGCAAUCGGCUGGGUUUUUGAGCCUGAGCACACAUGUUGGGACCCGAAAGGUGGUGACCUAUGCCUGAACAGGACGAAGCCGAGGGAAACCUGGGUGGAGGUCCGUAGCGAUGUUGACGUGCAAAUCGCUCGUUAGAUUUGGGUAUAGGGGCGAAAGACUCAUCGAACCACCUAGUAGCUGGUUCACCC
RNAcentral lists this unclassified non-coding RNA (1390 nucleotides) under uncultured fungus. RNAcentral describes it as "sequence contains 18S rRNA gene, ITS1, 5.8S rRNA gene, ITS2, 28S rRNA gene". The stretch from base 343 to 1390 matches the Rfam family "Eukaryotic large subunit ribosomal RNA", at positions 1 to 961 of the family's 3401-position model. The record is from RNAcentral. Lineage: Eukaryota; Fungi.